RNAcentral lists this small RNA (226 nucleotides) under Arabidopsis thaliana (thale cress). RNAcentral describes it as "ATSL171420". The record is from RNAcentral. Lineage: Eukaryota; Viridiplantae; Streptophyta; Magnoliopsida; Brassicales; Brassicaceae.
AAAUUAACAAUUACAAAUAUUUUAUUUCGUAAAAUUUAAUAAUUAAUACAAAUACUUAAAUUGUAAACAUACAUCGCAUAUAUUUUUAAUUUGUUUUCAAAAUGUUUUGUGGUUUUUAGGCAGUGAAUGGAGACACAGUAUUCGCGGAUUUUAAAGUGAGAGUGUGGAAAAACGUGACUUUUCACCAAUCAAUAAAACUAAAAGAUAAAUUGCGUUUUCCAAAAAA